GAUGAACGCUGACAGAAUGCUUAACACAUGCAAGUCGAUGGGGAAGUGGUGCUUGCACCAUGGUAACCAUGGCGGACGGGUGAGUAACGCGUAAGGAACUUACCUGCGGGACCGGGAUAACAGCAGGAAACUGCUGACAAGACCGGAUAAGGUCAUUAAGCUGCAUAGCUUAGUGAUGAAAGGAGACGCCUGCGGAGAGCCUUGCGUCCUAUUAGCUAGUUGGAGGGGUAACGGCCCACCAAGGCGAAGAUAGGUAGCCGGCCUGAGAGGGUGGACGGCCACAAGGGGACUGAGAUACGGCCGUUACUCCUACGGGAGGCAGCAGUGGAGAAUAAUGGACAAUGGGGGCAACCCUGAUCAAGCAAUUCUGUGUGCACGAAGACGGUUUUCGGAUUGAAAAGUGCUUUCAGCAGAGAAGGAGGAAGUGACGGUACCUGCAGAAGAAGCGACGGCUAAAUACGUG
This 463-nucleotide ribosomal RNA is filed under the name uncultured bacterium. RNAcentral's name for it is "partial 16S ribosomal RNA". It matches the Rfam family "Bacterial small subunit ribosomal RNA", at positions 28 to 507 of the family's 1533-position model. The record is from RNAcentral.